AUUAGAACGCUGGCGGCGUGCUUAACACAUGCAAGUCGAUCGGUAACAGGUGUAGCAAUACAUGCUGACGAGAGGCGGACGGGUGAGUAAUGCUUGGGAAUCUGCCUAUUAGUGGGGGACAACCCGGGGAAACUCGGGCUAAUACCGCAUACGCUCUACGGAGGAAAGCCGGGGACCGCAAAGGCCUGGCGCUAAUAGAUGGAGCCCAAGUCCGGAUUAGCUAGUUGGAGGGUAACGGCCUACCAAGGCGACAAUCCG
This 258-nucleotide ribosomal RNA is filed under the name uncultured bacterium. RNAcentral's name for it is "partial 16S ribosomal RNA". It matches the Rfam family "Bacterial small subunit ribosomal RNA", at positions 31 to 283 of the family's 1533-position model. The record is from RNAcentral.